AAACACGCUUACCUCCCCCGUCUCCACCUCCAGCGCGCCGCCGCAGUCGGCCCUCGCCCCUCCACCGCGCGCCGCCACCGCCCCUCCGCCGUGCGCCGCCUCAACCCCUGCGGCUUUCCACCACCGGCGACACUGACGCCGGCGCCGCACCUUCCCCCAACUCCUUUCUCUCCUCCUCCUUCGCCGUCACCACUCUUCAUCAGCCGGCAGACUCCGUCGAAAUGGCCAGGCGGCGCUGGAGUUCACCGGAACGGGUAGGGGGCUGGCGGGCGGCACGAGGAAGAUGACGGAUCAAGGCGCGACGUCGAGGGUUCAGGCGGCUGGUGCGGCAGCUUGCUCCGAUGGCGGCGGUGUCCUGCUCAUCCAGAGAAAGAGAGAGACAUGGCGUGAGGGAGAGAGGAAAGAGAGGAAGAAAUGAGAAGGAGAAGGGGCGCGGGGUGAGGGAGGCAGUCGCCGGCGGUGGCGCCGCUCUGACGCGGCAUCUUUCUUCCCGAUGAAUCAGAAACUGAAGAUGAUGAUCCCAUGGACACAGAAGAAGCUUCCUCUGUCCUCAUCGCUGCACUGCAGUCUUCCAGCCAAGUUCUGAUGAACUUUUAAAUCCAGUUUAGAGAAUUGCUCAUGACUUGACAGAAAUCAUUCUUAUGAGCACAUCGUUUGAUUCUAUUACUAGUAAUCUUCCAUAAAAGAUAGAAUGAAAGAAAGGGUCUACUUUAGCAGUUGAGAUCAAGAUGCUACUCCAAUCUAUAUAUGAAACCAAAUCAGGUGGGCUCGAUGACAAAGAGGUAAUAAGACAUGAACUCUUUCAGUAUAAAAAGUUGAUGGUCCUAAUUAGUUUAUAGCUUAUUUCUUGAUCACUUUAAUUUACACGACAUCUCCAGGGCUUUUCGUGUUCUGUGGUAAUAUAUUCGAUCAUAGUCACAGCUUACACAAGAUGAUUAUUUAUGUUCCUAAUUUAUCUUCCUCUAUCAUGGUGGUAGGGAAACAUCGCCGUUAGUUUGCCUAAGAUAGAAGGACUUCACAUAAUUUUGUCAAUAGCAUUGAUCAGGAUAUCUUUUUUCUUAUUCCUUUCUAUUUGUAGACAAGGAAGAACCAUAGAGAAUCUCGAUCCUUACACUGUAACAGUACCUGAAGCAGAGCAAACCAUUGUCUCAAAUUUAAUAGUAGAUGGAAAGGAAUGGUUGUUUUUGUUGCAGAUUACUCCAAGAACAAGUGCAUUGUCAAGCUAGAUGUUCUAUAUUAUCCGUCCAUAAUCUGGAUGCUUGUGUAUCCCGCGACUUGGUUCAUCCAUGAGAUAUUUGUGUUCAAACACAAGUGUGGGCUGCUUGCAGGGUAGAGCAUAAUUGGAUUUUAAAGCCAUUUAUAAUGUCCUUCAAAACUAUAAGUUUGAACAAAGAAACCACUUCAACUAGCCUAGGGCUAUGUCUAUUAGUCCUCCAGUAUUUCUUGGAAUGAGAUAACACAUGUUUCUUCAAGUGUCUACACACUACCUGAAGUAAGUUUCUUAUAGAAGUAGUCAAACCUGGAUACCAAUUUAUUGAAACAUUAUAUUUCUUAUAGAAGUAGUCAAACAAGGAUAUCAAUUUAUUGGAACCAUCAAGGAAGAGACACUCCUGGAGGGUCAGAAGUAAUGCAAUAUAUUCUCCCUCUUAUGCCUAUUUGAAAUACAGUUGUAGGGUUGUACUUUGCCACUCAUAUUGCAGU
Non-coding RNA from Triticum urartu, 1701 nucleotides. Lineage: Eukaryota; Viridiplantae; Streptophyta; Magnoliopsida; Poales; Poaceae. The record is from RefSeq and is a predicted model, not a curated record.